RNAcentral lists this long non-coding RNA (322 nucleotides) under Anser brachyrhynchus (Pink-footed goose). RNAcentral describes it as "Prostate cancer antigen RNA 3 conserved region 2 (ENSABRG00000012079.1)". It matches the Rfam family "Prostate cancer antigen RNA 3 conserved region 2", at positions 1 to 346 of the family's 409-position model. The record is from RNAcentral. Lineage: Eukaryota; Metazoa; Chordata; Aves; Anseriformes; Anatidae.
UAUUUUUGAUCCAUUAUUAAAGACUCAAAAACCAAGCAUAUUUUCAAAUAGUGUUCUGCACAGCCAGUGAUACGUCUGUGCUUGAUGCCAUUAUUCUUCACAAAAUGUGAUGAUAAUGUUAUCUGUUAACAUAAAAACAAAGUUUGACUCCACAGAAGCAGCUGGAAAUGGAUAACCAGAAUAUGCUUAAAUCUGCUAGGAACGCACUGUUUGACAUAUACAGCUAAAAGUUCCUCAUAUUUAGGAAUUCUUUUAAGCAAAAUACUCAAGUCUCAGCUGGUGUGCAUGUAAGAACAUUCACUUCCCAGUGGUAAUGUGGAAU